AUUUAGAUGAUAGUUUGAUGGAGUACGGUAGCGGCGUGUGGCGCGCAGACAAAGAAAUCUCCGAGGGAGCGAAAGAGAUGUGACCUUUGACCCCACGCCCUUUGACCGUCCCGCCUGUGUGCAGAGGCCGCGCGGCCCGGCGGCCAAUCGUCACCUCCUUCUCGGAGCGCGGGCAGAGCGUGCACAUCGUUUCGGGUCUGUGACGGACUUAAAAAUGAGUUACGGGCCCGCGUAACCUGCUUGCUGUCCUGGGUGGCAACAACAACCCUACAGCCAAGAA
Gopherus evgoodei (Goodes thornscrub tortoise) is the source of this 280-nucleotide long non-coding RNA. RefSeq lists it as uncharacterized. The transcript has 2 exons. Lineage: Eukaryota; Metazoa; Chordata; Testudines; Testudinidae. The record is from RefSeq and is a predicted model, not a curated record.